GACGGAGGAGGCAAGCGUUAUCCGGAAUUAUUGGGCGUAAAGGGUACGUAGGCGGCUGGUCAAGUCUGGGGUCAAAGGCCACAGCUCAACUGUGGGAAGGCCCUGGAAACUGGCCGGCUAGAGUGAGGUAGGGGCUGUGGGAAUUCCCGGUGUAGCGGUGAAAUGCGUAGAGAUCGGGAAGAACACCUGAGGCGGAAGCGCGCAACUGGGCCUCAACUGACGCUGAGGUACGAAAGCUAGGGGAGCGAAUGGG
Molecule: ribosomal RNA, 253 nt
Filed under: uncultured bacterium
Lineage: Bacteria
Description: partial 16S ribosomal RNA
Rfam family: Bacterial small subunit ribosomal RNA
Source: RNAcentral